GCCUGUCUUUGUGUUGGUCUCAGCGGGAGCGAGUGUGCGCUCACUCAUGCUCUGGCUGGGCUCAGCGUCAGGAGGAGGAGGGAACACAGACAGACGAGCCACUGUUAACCCCUGCUGGGUCACUUUGCUCAGCUCUCAGUGCUCUGCUCUUUCAACACUAGCCUCAUUAGAACUAAAUACAAUGAGUCAAGCAACUUUAAUUACCAAAACAACACAGAGAACAAUACAAACUUUUGACUAAACCAACUGCUGUCCUAAAAGUCUAUAAAGAGCCUCGGAUCUGCUUCAAUGCAUUUUGAGAAGGAGGCGAGGAGAGAGAGGAUGCAAGAAAUCACAAUUGAUUCCCCUCUGUGUUUUCACCACUCAUCCUCCUGAUACUAGGACCUGAGCCCUAGGACCAUGCCCCAGGACUACCUGACAUGAUGACUCCUUGCUGUCCCCAGUCCACCUGGCCAUGCUGCUGUUCCAGUUUCAACUGACCUGAGCCCUAGGACCAUGCCCCAGGACUACCUGACAUGAUGACUCCUUGCUGUCCCCAGUCCACCUGGCCAUGCUGCUGCUCCAGUUUCAACUUCCACCUGACUGUGCUGCUGCUCCAGUUUCAACUGUUCUGCCUUAUUAUUAUUCGACCAUGCUGGUCAUUUAUGAACAUGUGAACAUCUUGGCCAUGUUCUGUUAUAAUCUCCACCCGGCACAGCCAGAAGAGGACUGGCCACCCCACAUAGCCUGGUUCCUCUCUAGGUUUCUUCCUAGGUUUUGGCCUUUCUAGGGAGUUUUUCCUAGCCACCGUGCUUCUACACCUGCAUUGCUUGCUGUUUGGGGUUUUAGGCUGGGUUUCUGUACAGCACUUUGAGAUAUCAGCUGAUGUACGAAGGGCUAUAUAAAUAAAUUUGAUUUGAUUUGAUUUUGAUUUGUUCCUAAUGUUUUACAAACUCAGUGUUUGCAAUUUGAGGAAAGCGACAUCUACAGUAUGUAAAGAGUUGAUGAUUUAAUGAUUGUAUCAUUACAAAUGACUGAACAAUCGCAGAUGCUACGUGUCAGUGAGAAUCAUGUCUCAUAUUUUCCCCCUUUCAGGGAUAUAACAUUACAACUGUAUUGCUAAUAGGCUAUCUGUUUGUAGAUAGAUUGAGGUGAAUGAACCUACAGCAGCCAAGGUGAUAAUGGCCAGUGUCAUUUUUGCUAUUCUCCGAAUAGCAUUUGAAAGUUUUUUAUUUGUAUAGAAAUGCAGUAAAUAAGCUUCAACUUCAAAAAAUAUAUAUCUGAGCCCACUUUAACUCAAACCUAGUUACGACCCUGGUCAUGGACACAUCUUGGAGUCUUUUUCUGAGAUUUUUCUCAAGAUAAUUUCAAAGGACAGCUUGCAAGAUUGUGGUUGAGCUACUGGUGUUCUGCCAGACUCUCUACAACCACAGAGGAAGUAAAAUAUUUCAGCACUCUUUGCAAAUACUUGCAUUUUCACAAUUUUAUGUGAAAAGAUUAUUUACAUUUACCCAUAAAUUAUUUAUCAUCAUCUAUUUGUUUUGUGUGUGUGUGCGCAUAUUUGUGUGUGUGUGUGUAUUCGUGUGUGUGUGUGUGUAUGUGUAUGUGUGUGCAACAGUUAUACUCUGGAUGAUAUGAAAAGGGAUCUUUUGGACUGAUGUCAGAACAAGUCCACAUUGUGCCCCACCAAAGCCCAGCCCAGUACAAAUUGAUAAUGGCAUUCUGAAUAGGCACUUGUUUUGACACCAUGGGUUGUUCACUGACUUCAGACAGAGAAUCUAUGUCUCUCUCUACAAUUCUUUCAAUGUUGGCCAAUCUCAAAAUAUUUUAUUUUUAUGCAAUGCUUUCAUUUUCCCAUGGACAUCACUACCCCCUACUGGAUGUUUAUGUAACUGUAGUUGAGAAACCAGCGGGGCCUUUAUCAAAGGUGCAUCUGCACAAAAAAAGUCUCUUGAGUGCGCCACAAGGGAAUUUAAAUAAUGGUCGGCUAAUAAAAACAUAGCCUAAUGUUAAAACAGAUGAAUUUGCCAUCGGCAAGGAGAUAGCAGCUUGUAGACUAUGUUUCUUUGACAUUUAUUAAUAUGGGCUUGAAUCAUAAUUGUAUUUGGAGAUGGG
Long non-coding RNA from Oncorhynchus nerka (sockeye salmon), 2094 nucleotides. RefSeq lists it as uncharacterized. NCBI's taxonomy places the organism in Eukaryota, Metazoa, Chordata, Actinopteri, Salmoniformes, Salmonidae. The transcript has 3 exons. The record is from RefSeq and is a predicted model, not a curated record.